Etheostoma cragini (Arkansas darter) is the source of this 114-nucleotide long non-coding RNA. RefSeq lists it as uncharacterized. The transcript has 3 exons. NCBI's taxonomy places the organism in Eukaryota, Metazoa, Chordata, Actinopteri, Perciformes, Percidae. The record is from RefSeq and is a predicted model, not a curated record.
CCAGUUGUCUCUUUCAGUUGGAGGCUGUGCAGUGACGCUCAGCCAUCACCGGAAAAGGGCUUCUAAUAGCCUUCACUGGUCUCCAUCGAGAACAACGGGAUCUGUUGGUCCAUU